GACGAACGCUAGCGGCGUGCCUAAUACAUGCAAGUCGAGCGGACGGAUGGGAGCUUGCUCCCAGACCGUCAGCGGCGGACGGGUGAGUAACACGUGGGCAACCUGCCUGUAAGACUGGGAUAACUCCGGGAAACCGGGGCUAAUACCGGAUAACUCUUUCCCUCACAUGAGGGAAAGCUGAAAGAUGGCAUCUCGCUAUCACUUACAGAUGGGCCCGCGGCGCAUUAGCUAGUUGGUGAGGUAACGGCUCACCAAGGCGACGAUGCGUAGCCGACCUGAGAGGGUGAUCGGCCACACUGGGACUGAGACACGGCCCAGACUCCUACGGGAGGCAGCAGUAGGGAAUCUUCCGCAAUGGACGAAAGUCUGACGGAGCAACGCCGCGUGAGUGAUGAAGGUUUUCGGAUCGUAAAACUCUGUUGUCAGGGAAGAACAAGUACCGGAGUAACUGCCGGUACCUUGACGGUACCUGACCAGAAAGCCACGGCUAACUACGUG
RNAcentral lists this ribosomal RNA (498 nucleotides) under uncultured bacterium. Its description in RNAcentral is "partial 16S ribosomal RNA". It matches the Rfam family "Bacterial small subunit ribosomal RNA", at positions 28 to 507 of the family's 1533-position model. The record is from RNAcentral.